AUACUUACCUGGCAGUGGAGAUUCUCCUGUAAUCACCAAGGCAGGGCUCCCAGGGUGAAUCUAAUCCAUUGCACUUGGGGUGUGCUGACCCCUGCAAUUUCCCGAAAUGUCAAAAACUCAACUGCAUUAUUUGUGGUAGUGAAGGACUGCAUUUGUGCUUUCCCCUA
This is a small nuclear RNA of Heteronotia binoei (common prickly gecko), 167 nucleotides long. RefSeq annotates it as U1 spliceosomal RNA. Lineage: Eukaryota; Metazoa; Chordata; Lepidosauria; Squamata; Gekkonidae. The transcript has a single exon. The record is from RefSeq and is a predicted model, not a curated record.